Molecule: transfer RNA, 73 nt
Filed under: Galendromus occidentalis (western predatory mite)
Lineage: Eukaryota; Metazoa; Arthropoda; Arachnida; Mesostigmata; Phytoseiidae
Also listed under: 1 other name
Description: tRNA-Arg
Rfam family: tRNA
About the family: Transfer RNA (tRNA) molecules are approximately 80 nucleotides in length. Their secondary structure includes four short double-helical elements and three loops (D, anti-codon, and T loops). Further hydrogen bonds mediate the characteristic L-shaped molecular structure. tRNAs have two regions of fundamental functional importance: the anti-codon, which is responsible for specific mRNA codon recognition, and the 3' end, to which the tRNAs corresponding amino acid is attached (by aminoacyl-tRNA synthetases). tRNAs cope with the degeneracy of the genetic code in two manners: having more than one tRNA (with a specific anti-codon) for a particular amino acid; and 'wobble' base-pairing, i.e. permitting non-standard base-pairing at the 3rd anti-codon position.
Source: RNAcentral
GGGUCCGUGGCGCAACGGAUAACGCGCCUGACUACGGAUCAGGAGAUUGCAGGUUCGAAUCCUGCCGGACUCG